This is a long non-coding RNA of Salvia hispanica, 1147 nucleotides long. RefSeq lists it as uncharacterized. NCBI's taxonomy places the organism in Eukaryota, Viridiplantae, Streptophyta, Magnoliopsida, Lamiales, Lamiaceae. The record is from RefSeq and is a predicted model, not a curated record.
UUCUUUCACUCCUUUCAUUCCUUAGCAUUUCGUUUAAAAACUUGGAGCAGUAGCAAUGUGACUAACGACUUGAUUGUGGAGCUUAACUCACUGGAAUGAGCUUGAGUUGUUUAUCUUGUUAUGUUAAGUGUUGUUUCUAUGAUUCCAAGAGUUGGAGCUUUACUGGGGCUUUACUAAUCUGCAAUUACCCUUUGAGUUUGGCUAAGAAAUGUUGAUCCCUUGAUUAUUAAAGCUUGCUACUUGUUGUGAGGCUGAAAAUUAGUGUAGUUAACACUUGUGCUACUAAGUUCUUGUACUAUGUUAUGAUUGUUCUAAACAUGAUGCAAGAUAAGGUGAUGGGGUGUGGAGGUGUUUACAUGGAUGAAAAGGAGUGACAUGGAGGGUGUUGAUGAUUUACCUGUUGUGGUGAAAGGGACCAAAAGGAGGGAUGGAGUGCUCCUGAUCUUAGCUCGCUCACUGCCCUCUUUUCCUAGAAAUUUCACUCUCAAAUUUUCUCAAAGAAAUUUGCUGGAUUUGUUGUGUGUGUGAAGGAGUUCAUAGGCGGUGUGGAGGGGAUUUUAUAGGCUGAUUGUGGUGUACUAUGGGGACUUAAAUGGGGCUGUUGUAUCACUUGUUGUUAUGCUGCAGAAAAUCCCACUUUAAUGAUCCCAUUGCCCCUCCUUCUUGGCUGCAAAUUUGGCAUUAUAUGGGUACUUAGUACUAGUUAUUAAUUGGGGUUGUUUGAUUGCAGAGAGGCAGGGGAUGUUGUGCCAAGGGGCUGCAUUAUGAAGGGUUUGCAGGCUGGAAAUCCCCCUGUUUUUGGCAAGUUCUUGGUCUUCAAGGAAAAAGAAAGGUGAGAGGAAAACUUAUCUCCCAUCCAACUGCAUCUCGAGUGGGCUCGGAUUCACCGAAUGGCCGACGGGCUGCCCGAAACGGGCCCUAAAUCGGGCCUGGAGGAACAAGGCCGAGAAACACUCCACAAUUUCAUAUAUAUAUUUUUCUUUUCUUUUCUUUGGGACUUGAUCCAUGCAACAUAUAUAUGUAUUUUUUUUUGUUGUUUAUUAGUUAAGCUUGUUCUAUGUAUUGAAGCAUUUGAACAUUAGUUGCUCGUUAAUUGUUUUUUUUUCGAGAUUUCUAUUCGAAAAUUCGUGAUACUUUACAUUGCAAA